AGAGUUUGAUCAUGGCUCAGGACGAACGCUGGCGGCGUGCCUAAUACAUGCAAGUCGAGCGAGCUUGCCUAGAUGAUUUUAGUGCUUGCACUAAAUGAAACUAGAUACAAGCGAGCGGCGGACGGGUGAGUAACACGUGGGUAACCUGCCCAAGAGACUGGGAUAACACCUGGAAACAGAUGCUAAUACCGGAUAACAACACUAGACGCAUGUCUAGAGUUUGAAAGAUGGUUCUGCUAUCACUCUUGGAUGGACCUGCGGUGCAUUAGCUAGUUGGUAAGGUAACGGCUUACCAAGGCAAUGAUGCAUAGCCGAGUUGAGAGACUGAUCGGCCACAUUGGGACUGAGACACGGCCCAAACUCCUACGGGAGGCAGCAGUAGGGAAUYUUCCACAAUGGACGAAAGUCUGAUGGAGCAACGCCGCGUGAGUGAAGAAGGGUUUCGGCUCGUAAAGCUCUGUUGGUAGUGAAGAAAGAUAGAGGUAGUAACUGGCCUUUAUUUGACGGUAAUUACUUAGAAAGUCACGGCUAACUACGUGCCAGCAGCCGCGGUAAUACGUAGGUGGCAAGCGUUGUCCGGAUUUAUUGGGCGUAAAGCGAGUGCAGGCGGUUCAAUAAGUCUGAUGUGAAAGCCUUCGGCUCAACCGGAGAAUUGCAUCAGAAACUGUUGAACUUGAGUGCAGAAGAGGAGAGUGGAACUCCAUGUGUAGCGGUGGAAUGCGUAGAUAUAUGGAAGAACACCAGUGGCGAAGGCGGCUCUCUGGUCUGCAACUGACGCUGAGGCUCGAAAGCAUGGGUAGCGAACAGGAUUAGAUACCCUGGUAGUCCAUGCCGUAAACGAUGAGUGCUCAAGUGUUGGGAGGUUUCCGCCUCUCAGUGAUGCAGCUAACGCAUUAAGCACUCCGCCUGGGGAGUACGAC
This 920-nucleotide ribosomal RNA is filed under the name uncultured bacterium. RNAcentral's name for it is "bacterial SSU rRNA". It matches the Rfam family "Bacterial small subunit ribosomal RNA", at positions 8 to 886 of the family's 1533-position model. The record is from RNAcentral.